UACAGAGGGGGCAAGCGUUAUUCGGAAUUAUUGGGCGUAAAGAGCUCGUAGGCGGUUUGUCGCGUCUGCUGUGAAAACCCGAGGCUCAACCUCGGGCCUGCAGUGGGUACGGGCAGACUAGAGUGCGGUAGGGGAGAGUGGAAUUCCUGGUGUAGCGGUGGAAUGCGCAGAUAUCGAGAGGAACACCAGUGGCGAAGGCGAGUCCCUGGACAACACCUGACACUGAGGCACGAAAGCUAGGGGAGCAAACAGG
This 253-nucleotide ribosomal RNA is filed under the name uncultured bacterium. RNAcentral describes it as "partial 16S ribosomal RNA". It matches the Rfam family "Bacterial small subunit ribosomal RNA", at positions 524 to 776 of the family's 1533-position model. The record is from RNAcentral.